RNAcentral lists this long non-coding RNA (417 nucleotides) under Carassius auratus (goldfish). Its description in RNAcentral is "lncRNA (ENSCARG00000038817.1)". Lineage: Eukaryota; Metazoa; Chordata; Actinopteri; Cypriniformes; Cyprinidae. The record is from RNAcentral.
AUGGUUUUUGUUGUGCAAACACGUUUAAUUAUCAAGAAGUUAAUUUUCCAUGAAUGCAUUUUCAGAUUUCUGCAAUUUACUACACAUCAACGUCCCUUCUCCAAUAUGACUCUCCACCCCAUGAACCGUUUUUAUGAAGAGGCACACAACCAAUCAAAAGGUUUGUGCAUGAAAACCCAAUAUCUACUGUCCACUGUUCCCAAGAGAUUUCUGCAAUAUGCUACAUAUGUGAAACUUCCUCCUUCAGUAUUGGAUUCUCCACUCCAUGAACUGUUUUUAUGGAGAGGCACACAACCAAUACAACGAUUUCUGCAAUAGCUACAGUUGAAACUUCUUCCGUAUCCAUUAAAUGAUUCUCCACUCUAUGAACCCUUUUUAUGAAGAACACAACUGAAAAAAGGUAGGAUCUAUUAUCCU